AUAAAUAACAAAGCAAGUUGGGUCCUCUAUAAACUUUGGUAGAUUCGUGAUUCUUCUUCUCUUGUUCCGUAUGAUGCCCCCCAGCUUAUUGCCACAGAGUAAUUAAACCCAUCCUUAAACCGGAUUUGAUUUACCAAUUUGUCAGAGUUGUUGCUCCUUUCUUUGCUGACAAAAUCUGUGUUUUUAUUUCAUCCGUUCGAAUUUAAUAUGGUACACUUGUCUUUUUAAGGGUAGGAGGGGAUCACAAGAAACACUUAAAACUCGCCUUCUUGAGAUUUUCGAAAAAUGGCGAAAUCUUGAGUUGAGAGGAUUUUAACAGCUGGUCACCGGUAAAAAGUAAGGAGAUCCUCCGAUUUUCUUACUCCCCAAUACAUUCUUCACCAGAAGUUUCCAUCUUGUUUCAUCUUUCUUGCUCUGUUUCUCCAUCUUUUCUUUUAAGUUUCUGUUUCCAAAAAAACCCACACAAAUCAGCGACCAAGACUCAAAUGCUCUUCUGAUUAGUACACUAAUUAGGUAGUAGGUUUAUACCUGCACAGAGGGACUCGACAUUGAUCAGAAUCUGCGCAGACACGUGAAUGCAAUUCAAGGAGUUGCCACAUUCUCUUGCAAUGUACGCAACCUC
Molecule: long non-coding RNA, 622 nt
Filed under: Capsella grandiflora
Lineage: Eukaryota; Viridiplantae; Streptophyta; Magnoliopsida; Brassicales; Brassicaceae
Description: long non-coding RNA (CGRA_LNC001071)
Source: RNAcentral